ACGCCUUUUAUAAAAUACCUAUCGCCCUUCUAAGGCGUGGGUCAAAGGUUCGAAUCCUUUAGGGCGUGCCA
RNAcentral lists this transfer RNA (71 nucleotides) under Mannheimia haemolytica. RNAcentral describes it as "tRNA-Arg (TCT) (tRNA-Arg-TCT-3-1)". It matches the Rfam family "tRNA". Rfam says of the family: Transfer RNA (tRNA) molecules are approximately 80 nucleotides in length. The record is from RNAcentral. Lineage: Bacteria; Pseudomonadati; Pseudomonadota; Gammaproteobacteria; Pasteurellales; Pasteurellaceae. RNAcentral also lists the same sequence under 12 other names.